Molecule: transfer RNA, 76 nt
Filed under: Sphingobacterium daejeonense
Lineage: Bacteria; Pseudomonadati; Bacteroidota; Sphingobacteriia; Sphingobacteriales; Sphingobacteriaceae
Description: tRNA-Asn(gtt)
Rfam family: tRNA
About the family: Transfer RNA (tRNA) molecules are approximately 80 nucleotides in length.
Source: RNAcentral
UCCUGAAUAGCUCAGUUGGGUUAGAGCAUCUGACUGUUAAUCAGAGGGUCGCUGGUUCGAGCCCAGCUUCAGGAGC